Chlorocebus sabaeus (green monkey) is the source of this 62-nucleotide microRNA precursor. Lineage: Eukaryota; Metazoa; Chordata; Mammalia; Primates; Cercopithecidae. The record is from Ensembl.
GCAGUCACUGACGUGAAGGGACCACAUCCUGCUUCAUGUCAGCGACUCCUGCCCCUUGGUCU